RNAcentral lists this ribosomal RNA (442 nucleotides) under uncultured bacterium. RNAcentral describes it as "partial 16S ribosomal RNA". It matches the Rfam family "Bacterial small subunit ribosomal RNA", at positions 338 to 795 of the family's 1533-position model. The record is from RNAcentral.
CCUACGUGCGGCAGCAGUGGGGAAUAUUGGGCAAUGGAGGCAACUCUGACCCAGCAACGCCGCGUGAAUGAUGAAGGUCUUCGGAUUGUAAAGUUCUUUUCUAAGGGAAGAAGAAAGUGACGGUACCUUAGGAAAAAGCAUCGGCUAACUCCGUGCCAGCAGCCGCGGUAAUACGGAGGAUGCGAGCGUUAUCCGGAUUUAUUGGGUUAAAAGGGUGCGCAGGCGGAGGCACAAGUCAGCGGUAAAAUCGCGGGGCUCAACCCCGCUCCGCCGGUGAAACUGUGUCCCUUGAGUGCGCGAAGGGUAGGCGGAAUGCGUGGUGUAGCGGUGAAAUGCAUAGAUAUCACGCAGAACUCCGAUCGCGAAGGCAGCCUACCGGCGCGCAACUGACGCUCAUGCACGAAAGCGUGGGUAUCGAACAGGAUUAGAUACCCCUGUAGUC